This 253-nucleotide ribosomal RNA is filed under the name uncultured bacterium. RNAcentral's name for it is "partial 16S ribosomal RNA". It matches the Rfam family "Bacterial small subunit ribosomal RNA", at positions 524 to 776 of the family's 1533-position model. The record is from RNAcentral.
UACGUAGGGUGCGAGCGUUAAUCGGAAUUACUGGGCGUAAAGGGUGCGCAGGCGGCGUCGCAAGUCAGGCGUGAAAUCCCCGGACUUAACCUGGGAACUGCACUUGAAACUACGAUGCUGGAGUAUGGCAGAGGGAGGUGGAAUUCCACGUGUAGCGGUGAAAUGCGUAGAGAUGUGGAGGAACACCGAUGGCGAAGGCAGCCUCCUGGGCCAAUACUGACGCUCAUGCACGAAAGCGUGGGGAGCAAACAGG